UGCUGAGGACCGAAGACUUCCCAGAGGCAUUGACCAGAAGGAUGGAGGUAGAGAUGGGAGUCGGCCUGGAAGGUUAGGAAGUUGAUCUCCCUGCACCCUCUCUUUGGCUCUCUGGUAAAGAUCUACCCGGCUUGAAGGGGCACCUGGGGCCUUGACUGCUCACCUUUGUAAAAGUCACUUCAUGAAGCCUAGCAGCUGCCUGGCAGAUGGACCCUAUCCACAGCCGUCUGCUUCCUGGCUCCUCAUGUGAGAGGCCCUGGGCCUCAUCCUGUCUCCCAUGCCCUCUGAGGACAUCGCUGGCCAGCCCCCAUUGGACCUCUCCAUCUAAAUGUCCUCACAUCCCUGAUGUUAAUAAAGGCAGCA
Long non-coding RNA from Fukomys damarensis (Damara mole-rat), 363 nucleotides. RefSeq lists it as uncharacterized. The transcript has 3 exons. NCBI's taxonomy places the organism in Eukaryota, Metazoa, Chordata, Mammalia, Rodentia, Bathyergidae. The record is from RefSeq and is a predicted model, not a curated record.